RNAcentral lists this long non-coding RNA (2432 nucleotides) under Stegodyphus dumicola. RNAcentral describes it as "uncharacterized LOC118181412". Lineage: Eukaryota; Metazoa; Arthropoda; Arachnida; Araneae; Eresidae. The record is from RNAcentral.
AAGACUACAAAACAAAACCAACACGUGCAAAAAAAAAUUAAAAAUUAAAAAUCUUGGAAGGGUUCUGCAGAAAGCGAACUUAUUUAAGUGUGAAAGAACAGAAGAAUUGACCAGAAGAUUUUCGGCUGUUUGUAGUGACCGUUCACCGGAUAUACAGUUAAACCCUAACAAAGGGAAAAUACGAACAAAACUAAAGCACCAUGAAAAUAGCAGGACUAAUUGGCGUUCUGACCCUGGCCAUAUUUUUGUCCUGCUGUUUGCAUCAAGCAGAAGGAACUUUCAAGUUACUUAAAUUGGUGAAAGCUGGUCUUCUCCUAAAAGCCCUCAGCCCGAAAAAAAUUCUACUUCCUGUGCCAAUUCCUAUUCCCAUCGGGAUCAGCCAGCAUAAUCAGUAUCAUUACCAGAGUCAUGGGCAUCACGGUUAUGACUACUAUCAACCACAUUACGGAUACGAUUACGGUGGCUACGGUCACGGAGGAGGUUACGGAUACCACAGCGGCGGCUAUCACGUUGGAUGGUAAAGUACACAAAACUGCAAGUACCAAGUGCCAAUUAUCGCACAAAAACUGUGUAUAGUUCAUGUCAGUAUCGUUUUUGUUUUAUUUACUUUUUUGUACAUUUCAAGUACAAGUGUUGUAUAUUGCAACUUAAACGACAACUCAGUACAUUAUAUAAAAGAUGAAAGUACAACUUAAUGAAGACAUUUUUAAACUUUUUAAAAGAAGAGAAAUUGUUUGCUUUCAUAUUACGUACUCAAUUUUCUUUUUAAAUGUUGUACUAAGGAUUGCUUCACCUUGAGUACAACGAAACGUUGCUGUUUCAGUGAUGCAAGUGUAUUUAUUGCAAAUUAUUUCGACACACGCGUCAACUAGAACAAUAAUUGUGUUCCACGUUCAUCACAAGUAUUAUUUUAUCUUAGGAAGAAUUAUUUACCCUUAUUUAGGUAAAGUAAUCAUUAAUUUUUAUUGUGAUACGUUUUUGCUUACAAAUAGUGCGCAUUUUUAAAUUACAAAAUAGGAAUUUUAAAAUUAUUUAGAAUUCCUAUAUAUCUGACGCAACUGUUUGCUAUGUAUCGAAAAAGUUUUUAUUUCACUUUUAGACUUCCGUUUGUACAAUAGCAAUUGUUAUAAACAAUUUCUUCCUUAAUUUAAUUGUAAAUAUACGUUCUAGUAUGUUCCACUGUAGUGGAAUGUAACGUGAAAUGAAUGUUGUGUUUGAAUUUUAACUCUCAACGAAAGGUCAGUUAGAAUUGAAAUGGCAAGAUAAGGAAAAUACACACAAAAACAAUAUGAUAAGUAAAAAAGGUGAAUUAUUAAAAUUAAAUCACAAAUAUUUAGAAAAGAAAGGGAAGAAUAUUUAGAAAGAAGAGGGCUUUACCUUCUCAUUAUAAUGGAAAGAAGAAAUAAUUCACGUAAUAAAUAGUUAAACCAUGAAAUGAUUUAAAAACUGAAGUAUGUAUUUUAAGAAUUUAUUUUAUGUUUAUUGCACUGUUUAAUAAUUUUAAAGGAAUUUUCCUUGCUUUGCAGUAUCGCUUAUAACUGAUAGAUCGCUGGGAAAUAAAAUUAAAUUUUAGAGAUAAUUUUACUACACACCUUAAAAAAUAAAUUGAGGAAUGCCAAGACAGUGUGUUAAAUUAAGGCUAUGAAAAACAUACUAAACAAGGAAAAAAAUACACAAAUAUACAAAUUUAAUUUAUAAUCGGAAUAUCUCGUUAUUUAAUUUCAGUAUAGUCGUGAUAAAAUUCCUCACUAAUUUUAGUUUUGACACUUUUAUUGUUCUUACGAUAGUUUUAGUUACAUCUGACAUUUUUAAAAAGAGUGUAAUUAAAACUGUUUGAAAUAAAAGUAUUAAAGCUAAACUUACAUUUCUAGAUAUGUAAAUAGUCUGUGAUAUAUAAAAAUAAUUUGAAAUCUGUUUUGUUAUUCUCUAAUUAUAUAUACGUUAGAAACAUAGAUUAAAAAUUUCUUUGAAUAUUAAUUUGUUUGUUUCAGAAUACCAGCAGCAUAUUUAUAUAUAUAUAUACUGCAUUAAAAAUAAGCGUCAUUCAAAUUUUUAUAUUAUUAUUAUUUUCAAGUAUAUACUUUCUUACUACAGAAAAAUUUGGUUUGAAAUAUUAUAGUAUUUUUCUGUGGGUGAUUUUAUGUAUUCAGAAAUUUAAGGUAAUAAAAGCGCGAACGUUAAGGUAAUUAAAGUUCAGAAAGCAAAAUACAAAUGCAACUGUAUUUUUAAAAUGUACAUUGAAAUAUUUAGUGUUAUUUAUAACAGAUAGAUGGCAGCACUACACAAAAUUACCUUACUAUUUUGCGUUUUAUGUUCAAUAUUGUGAAUAUUUUAAAAACAUGCUGGAACUUUCUGUGCUCCUAUAUAUGCAUAUUUGUCGUAUAUAUGUAAAAAUAGUAAAUAUUUUAAAUAAACUUUUAUUAUUUGUUUCC